Molecule: ribosomal RNA, 267 nt
Filed under: uncultured bacterium
Lineage: Bacteria
Description: partial 16S ribosomal RNA
Rfam family: Bacterial small subunit ribosomal RNA
Source: RNAcentral
CGAUGGCGACCGGCGCACGGGUGAGUAACACGUAUCCAACCUGCCGAUGACUCGGGGAUAGCCUUUCGAAAGAAAGAUUAAUACCCGAUGGCAUAGUUCUUCCGCAUGGUAGAACUAUUAAAGAAUUUCGGUCAUCGAUGGGGAUGCGUUCCAUUAGCUUGUUGGCGGGGUAACGGCCCACCAAGGCAUCGAUGGAUAGGGGUUCUGAGAGGAAGGUCCCCCACAUUGGAACUGAGACACGGUCCAAACUCCUACGGAAGGCAGCAG